UAGACAUGAUGACGUGGGUUCCCCUGCUAACUUUGAUUAGACAUGAUGACGAGGGUUCCCCUGCUAACUUUGAUUAGACAUAAUGACGAGGGUUCCCCUGCUAACUUUGAUUAGACAUGAUGACGAGGGUUCCCCUGCUAACUUUGAUUAGACAUGAUGACGAGGAUUCCCCUACUAACUUUGAUUAGACAUGAAGGGGAAGAAAAUACAGAAAUAUUGUAAUUUGUGGCUCACAGGGUUGAAAUAUUCUGGUAACUUUACUUAAAUGUCCCAUGUUUCCUCCAGAAAUCCUGGUUGGACGAUUCCAGAUUUCUUGUUUAUUUCUGGGAAUUUGAGGAAAGUUACUGGGAUUUCACAACCCUGGUCGCUCAGCUGGCGCUUGGCAAUGUCAACUUUUUAUUUGGAAAUUAUAUUUGUCAAAGGGGUUGCAAGGAAAUGUAGAUUUUUUUUUUGAGCCGUGUGUUUGCAGCCCGAUUCACAAAGCCCUCGUAAAUUUCACAGUGAACAUGAAAGUAACGAGUGACCGAUGAUCUUUAUAAUUGCAAUGAGCUUUCAUCAAGAUCUCUUUCUGUGGUUGAAGAGGCCAUCUAGUGGCAAAUGAUGUGGUCAUAACCUUUCAAUACAGCCUAAAAUAGCCAUUUCACUUCAGCCAAAUAUUGUUUCAAAUCAAUUACUCUAUGAAACAACUGCAUUGUUUUAUGGUGUAAAAAUGUAAAUAUUUUUCCUCUUUAGUUCCUUGUACCAGUUUGGCACCUAUAGUUAUUGUUUGGGCCAAACCUUCCUACUGAACAAUUCAUGACUCCUUCAUUUCUGUUCCAACCCGAGCGGGAAGAAUGUCUGAGCCUUUGCAUGGUGCUUCAAUUGUAAAAGACAAGAUGACAUGAUUUCACAAAUAACGAGCAUCUUCUGGUGUGACUGGUAAUGGGUCUUUAUUUUAUUGUUUUAUGCAAAUGUCAUUUGAUUUUGAAGAUACAGAGGAAUGUAUAUGAACACUUUAUUAACAUGGAAUAGCUAUCGUUUGGUUUUAAAAUGUGUCCAGUGUCCAGAUCUGUAUCUGUUGCAGUAUGAUUAUAUAAAAGAGAAGAACUGUGCAAUUAAAAAAAUACAGGUAUCAUUGUCCGGAAAGACACAUUUCAGUUGAAUGCAUUCAGUUGUACAGGUAUCAUUGUCCGGAAAGACACAUUUCAGUUGAAUGCAUUCAGUUGUACAGGUAUCAUUGUCCGGAAAGACACAUUUCAGUUGAAUGCAUUCAGUUGUACAGGUAUCAUUGUCCUGAAAGACACAUUUCAGUUGAAUGCAUUCAGUUGUACAGGUAUCAUUGUCCGGAAAGACACAUUUCAGUUGAAUGCAUUCAGUUGUACAGGUAUCCCCCCUUUUCUUUCUCUAAAUGGCUAGUAAAGCAAACAAGAAUUGUCUGUUUUAAAAAUCCAGAGACAAGUAUUGUUUUUAAACAAGGCCUACUUUAGAUCACAUCAAACACCAACCCUGAAUUCAUU
This is a long non-coding RNA of Oncorhynchus keta (chum salmon), 1496 nucleotides long. RefSeq lists it as uncharacterized. The record is from RefSeq and is a predicted model, not a curated record. NCBI's taxonomy places the organism in Eukaryota, Metazoa, Chordata, Actinopteri, Salmoniformes, Salmonidae. The transcript has 4 exons.